This 61-nucleotide microRNA precursor is filed under the name Cordylochernes scorpioides. Lineage: Eukaryota; Metazoa; Arthropoda; Arachnida; Pseudoscorpiones; Chernetidae. The record is from RNAcentral.
ACCCCCCCUCCUGGUGGCUUACUAUGACGUGGACUAUGUCAAGAACCCCAAGGGUAGGUCC